GACGAACGCUGGCGGCGUGCCUAAUACAUGCAAGUCGUGCGGACCUUGUUGAAAGCUUGCUUUUAAAAGGUUAGCGGCGGACGGGUGAGUAACACGUGGGCAACCUGCCUGUAAGACUGGGAUAACGCCGGGAAACCGGGGCUAAUACCAGAUCGUUUUUUCCUCCGCAUGGAGGAAAAAGGAAAGGCGGCUUCGGCUGCCACUUACAGAUGGGCCCGCGGCGCAUUAGCUAGUUGGCGGGGUAAUGGCCCACCAAGGCAACGAUGCGUAGCCGACCUGAGAGGGUGAUCGGCCACAUUGGGACUGAGACACGGCCCAAACUCCUACGGGAGGCAGCAGUAGGGAAUCUUCCGCAAUGGACGAAAGUCUGACGGAGCAACGCCGCGUGAGUGAAGAAGGCCGUCGGGUCGUAAAACUCUGUUGCCGGGGAAGAACAAGUGCCGUUCGAACAGGGCGGCGCCUUGACGGUACCCGGCCAGAAAGCCACGGCUAACUACGUG
This 500-nucleotide ribosomal RNA is filed under the name uncultured bacterium. Its description in RNAcentral is "partial 16S ribosomal RNA". It matches the Rfam family "Bacterial small subunit ribosomal RNA", at positions 28 to 507 of the family's 1533-position model. The record is from RNAcentral.